UGGGCAGGUGGGGGGGGGGCCUAUACUGCAGUGGAACGCACGAGGUACACCGUAGUUUACUACACCGUACUUUGUGAGUCGCGAACGGGUGAGUAACGCGUAGGUAACCUACCUUUUAGCGGGGGAUAACUAUUGGAAACGAUAGCUAAUACCGCAUAAGAUAUCUUACUGCAUGGUAAGAUAUUAAAAGAUGCAAUUGCAUCACUAAGAGAUGGACCUGCGUUGUAUUAGCUAGUAGGUGAGGUAACGGCUCACCUAGGCGACGAUACAUAGCCGACCUGAGAGGGUGAUCGGCCACACUGGGACUGAGACACGGCCCAGACUCCUACGGGAGGCAGCAGUAGGGAAUCUUCGGCAAUGGGGGGAACCCUGACCGAGCAACGCCGCGUGAGUGAAGAAGGUUUUCGGAUCGUAAAGCUCUGUUGUAAGAGAAGAACGAGUGUGAGAGUGGAAAGUUCACACUGUGACGGUAACUUACCAGAAAGGGACGGCUAACUACGUGCCAGCAGCCGCGGUAAUACGUAGGUCCCGAGCGUUGUCCGGAUUUAUUGGGCGUAAAGCGAGCGCAGGCGGUUAGAUAAGUCUGAAGUUAAAGGCUGUGGCUUAACCAUAGUACGCUUUGGAAACUGUUUAACUUGAGUGCAGAAGGGGAGAGUGGAAUUCCAUGUGUAGCGGUGAAAUGCGUAGAUAUAUGGAGGAACACCGGUGGCGAAAGCGGCUCUCUGGUCUGUAACUGACGCUGAGGCUCGAAAGCGUGGGGGAGCAAACAGGAUUAGAUACCCUGGUAGUCCACGCCGUAAAACGAUGAGUGCUAGGUGUUGGGUCCUUUCCGGGACUCAGUGCCGCAGCUAACGCAUUAAGCACUCCGCCUGGGGAGUACGACCGCAAGGUUGAAACUCAAGGAAUUUGACGGGGGCCCGCACAAGCGGUGGAGCAUGUGGUUUAAUUCGAAGCAACGCGAAGAACCUUACCAGGUUCUUGACAUCCCGGUGCCCGUCCUAGAGAUAGGAUUUUGCUUCGGCACCACCGGUGACAGGUGGUGCAUGUUUGUCGUCAGCUCGUGCCGU
RNAcentral lists this ribosomal RNA (1067 nucleotides) under uncultured bacterium. RNAcentral describes it as "bacterial SSU rRNA". It matches the Rfam family "Bacterial small subunit ribosomal RNA", at positions 26 to 1068 of the family's 1533-position model. The record is from RNAcentral.